GUCUUCGAUUUGCUUUGCCAAAGUAAAACCUGGCCUUUGUGGAACAUUUAUGCCUUCAGCGAGAGACUGUAUGUGCCAAAUGAUGCGUUCAUCUCUAUACGUGGCAAUGUUUACGAAAACACACCUGCUGAUCAGAAAGUUCUCAAAGCUUCUUCGCCUCCUGCAGGCCUGGAAUGCACACUACAUCAUUUCAUCUUCUCCUUGAGCGUUUUCAUGCCUCUAUUGAGUAGGAGCAAUUUCUUUUUUUCAUUUACACAGCAGGAAACGGUUUUUGGAAACGUUGUGUAACCAUGGCCUCGAUAGCAGAUAAAAGUGGCUCCCAUUGUGAUCUUCUGCAGCUGUAGCACGUCUGCCUCAGGGUUCAACUAAGUUCAGAGAUUUUAUGGUACAUAAAUAGAGCUACUGUUGCCUUUCUAUGAUAUUCCAUGACUGAUCGAAAAUAUUCAAUCUAGAAAUGGUUUUGAGUGAAAAUCUAAGCAGAUUAAUAGUUUUUGAAAUGCUCAGACCACAUGAACAAAUAUGCAGUCAGUCUCUUAGAUCCUUUUCUGUAUUUUGAACUUCAUCAAGUUUCCCUCACCACAUUCAGAUACCGAAAUGUGCUAGAAACUGCUGCCCUGUGAUUAGCUGAUUUUCAGCAAGCGAUCUGAAGUACCUCCUGAGAUCAAUUUCAUAACCUGAACGCUGACGUUCAAAUCAAAUGUCCUGCUCAACUUUUCCUUACAUAUGGCUAAUUAAACUGCAGAAAAUGCCUCUUCUCAUCCAAUGGAAAUUUAUUACAACAACAACAACAACAAAAAACACUGCAGUAUUGCACACUUGUCCUUCACUUUCCUUUUGAGCCGGUAUUCAUUCCUGAAGCUGUGAGCGGGAGAACACAAUGUGUGAUUACUGUAUAGAGCUGGUGAGGGGAGUGUGUCAAGGCGUGCAUGAUGCCACACAAUGUGCCUGGAGAGAUUGAUGUUUUUGUCAUCCACCUGCUUCAAAGCUGUAAAGAGCCAGCUGAUGCAAACAGAGAAAAAAAAAAAAAAAAAAAAACAAGAAAGGCAGGCUCACAAACAAAAGAGGGAGAACCUCACUGCUCCUUCUUUGCACAUCUGUUUUGGAGGAAUAUCUGAUGUUUCUGACGCGCACUGGGCUCGAAUGAGCACUGAAUCUGAGUCUUGCGCCUGGGAGUGGUGUGAGUGAAAUCGGGGCCCGGAGCCACGGGUUGGGAGGAGAGAUGGCAGCCAGGGUGGCACGCUGACUGGAGGAGCGCCAGCUGCUCUCAACCAG
This is a long non-coding RNA of Poecilia latipinna (sailfin molly), 1272 nucleotides long. RefSeq lists it as uncharacterized. The transcript has 2 exons. NCBI's taxonomy places the organism in Eukaryota, Metazoa, Chordata, Actinopteri, Cyprinodontiformes, Poeciliidae. The record is from RefSeq and is a predicted model, not a curated record.